GGAACAUAUAAGGAGAGAAGUUAAUUCUCACUGAGGGAAUUGGGAUCAGCUUUAGAGAGGAGAUAGCAUUUGAACAAAUUCCAGAAGGCCAGUAGGGAUUUAGACAGGAGAUCUUGGAGAGAAGACAUGCUAGUCUGGGAGUGCCAACAUGGCUUGAAGGCAGAGGACGGGCAAUAGGAGGUGUUAGGAGUUAGCUUGGCUGUGGCUGGUAAAUGUGCAGAAGCACAGUGGAAGGUCAGUCCAGAGAGGGAGUGACAGCACAGCCUGGAGGAUGGAGGGUGAUGCAUGCCAGCUUAAGAAGCUGUGUUUUUACUGUUAGUUCUGACCAGUUUUUAGAAAAACUAAUCUACUAAUAAUAUGGAGGCAGGGGUGAGGAUGGAAGAAAUAUUGGAAGUCGACUAGAAGGAGGUGAGUGCACAGUUUGCUCAGGAGGUGAUGACACACUGAUUAGCGCUGGCAGAGAGAUGUGGGGGAGAUAUUAAGACACCCCUAGAGUGUGAGGAGGACUUUUUACAGCUUCCGGAGAGGAAAAAGUGGUUAUCAUGGGUCUACAGGGCUCUUUGAGCCUUCCCCAGAUGUGGAACAGAGAAAGUUUGAAGUAGAUGCCAUUUUAAGAGCCAGGACAUGGAUUCUCCCUCUCUGCAAAACAUCCUUGCAAACUCUCGAGGGAAACCAGUGCUUCAUGUUGUUAAAGUUUUACAAGUUAUGGCAUAAAUUGUUCUUCAAGUGCCAAAUGUAGUGACCAAUAAAUCACCGAGAGGAUUCUCUGAGAUUUGCAAUUGUGGAAUUAUAGAUUUUGUACCUAGUCUUGGAUGCACUGAGCUGGGUCUACUCUGAGGCAGCAAGCUGCAACCCUGCCCUGUCCAGUCACCUCACUGUCACCUGGAAGAAUCCUGUUCUUUAGUGGGAAUAAGUCACAGACGUCCUCAAAGGUGAACGCUCCAGGUGCACCCCAGAGAGCUGCCCCAUUAGCUCUGACUGGCUGAUGCUGUGUUUGGCUCCAAGCACUUCUCGCUAUAAAUCCACCACAGGUGUCCUCACUCUCCAUCACCCAGUCCUUUGUUCCGUCAUUGCCUCAUAUUCAUUUAGCAAGGCUUCACUGAGAACUUAGAGGCUCGCUGCUUCCCUGUGGGGCUACAACAGUAAACACCACAGACAGGCUCUGGUGGCGAAGACAGACAAACAGACCAGGAACUACAAAACACCUCGAAAAGUGCUCUGAUGGGAGAAACACAGAGUGCCGAGGGAACAUGUGGGAGAGGCGUUGGGGAAAUUUCUGGAAGGAAGUGGCCAGGUGAGAACUUCAGUCAUUUUGGAUGAGUUCCUCUCCCUAUGCUCCAGCCCCACAUACUAUCUUCGCUGUGACAUCUACCAGGUCAGUCCUCUCCUUUCUAUUAUUUCCCAUAAAUAAUUUUUCCAACAGCUUCUCUGGGAGGCAGAGUUAGGAACCCAGGCAGGCCCGGACAUUCCCGCUGUGUGGCCUUGAGCAAGUCACCGAACCCCCCUCAGUCUCAAUUUCUUCAUCUAAAAAAUGGGGACAACAACGCCUUACUCGCAGAUACAUCUUGAAAAACAAAUAAGAUAAUAUUUUAAAAAACAGCCCAAGGCCUGGCAUUUAAAAGAUAAUCAUUCCAGUUUCCUUUCUGAGCCUGCAGUCUCUUCUUUUGUUUAACAUACUCUCCUCACAGCUGCCAAACUCAUCUCCCCCAAACUUUAAUCUUAUCUCUCCCUUGCUCAAACAUUUUCAGAUCCCAUAGCCUAUGGAAUAAAGGCUGUCAGUCAGGAUCCCUGCAGAAAUGACUGAAGAGAACAGAAGGAAGGAGAAAGGCAGGGGUUCCAGGAGCACAGGGCAGGGGCCUCGCUCACACAGGCCGUUGGACAUCUGGAAGGUUCCCCGAGGAAGUGAUCCCAGAGCGGAGAGAUAAAGGCUGAACUAGGCAAGAAAAAGGUGAGAGUUCCUUGAAGCUUCACUGCAAUUCCCCAGCCACAGAGUGUCUGAAGACUGCUGCAGGUCCAGUUUGAGUUGCUUUUACUCUCCAGGAACACACAGAUGUGACUAAAAAAAUCUGCAUUCCCCUAAAGUAACAGCAUUCAUGCUACUCCAGAGACCCAGACAAAGGGGAAUUAAGCUUGCUUGAACUUGAGCCUGGGGACCAGGAUGCUGAUGGAGGCUUUGCAGAUUCUUGGGUCUCCAUGGAGACGAACAGACUCUGGCAAAAUUUCCUUCUUGGGAGAAAGGCAGUGUUGGCUGCUUUCUUUCCUCUGGCCACCCUGAGAAUGCAAGACUCAUAAAAGUGCUGUGUAUAGAUUCUCUGCAGACACGGGGCCAUUUUGUACCAUUUCUGGCCUCUUCAGAGCCCUCCUGAAGUGCUCUCUGGCAUCCAGCAUCCAGGGUGUCCAGCUGCCUCCACAAACAGCGAGAGCUCAUCAGUAAUGGGUGACACUAGUCACACAACAAAGAGCCAUGUGUCUGGUUCAUAGCACCUUAUCCAAAGUGAAUGCUCACUAUGGUUUUUAGCAAAAAAUGUGUGGAG
This 2534-nucleotide long non-coding RNA is filed under the name Pan troglodytes (chimpanzee). Its description in RNAcentral is "long non-coding RNA NONPTRT010734". Lineage: Eukaryota; Metazoa; Chordata; Mammalia; Primates; Hominidae. The record is from RNAcentral.